RNAcentral lists this unclassified non-coding RNA (1059 nucleotides) under Hevea brasiliensis (rubber tree). Lineage: Eukaryota; Viridiplantae; Streptophyta; Magnoliopsida; Malpighiales; Euphorbiaceae. The record is from RNAcentral.
UCUGAGGACCACGGCCUUCUGCAGCAAUCUUUCCACUGUAUCUGUGUGCAGAUUCUAUAAUGACAUUUGCCACAUUUUUACUCGAUUGUUUAACAUGGCUACCGCCAGAACCUUUUCUAUACACACUCCCCAGCUGGGGAAAUGGAUCACUGUUAUCAUCCAUGAUGUGGGUCGUUAAGUGCCUUACCUAGAAGCUUUCUUUAUAUCAGACACUGUCCUGGUUUACAUGGUUUUUCAGCAAAAAGGAUCAGUUCAAUAAUCUUUUUUGUUUCUCAAACAAGCAGCUAUAGACAAAUUCGGAGCCAACCAAGUGGAUCCCAUCUUUUCAGUAACCCAAUCUUAUAAUUUAAUUUGAAGGUCCAUCCAGAAUGAAUUGAUUAAUAACCAAAAUUGCAUGUAAUAACCAAAAUCUAAAAAUGGUACGCAAUUAUAUGCAUUGUAAAUUUUACAAAAGUAAAUUAAAUAAAUAGUGAAAAUAUAAAAGUGAUAUGACCGGCCACCAAAACACGAACCGGGCGAAUCGGUUCUCAGGGUACCGACCGACAAACUACUGAUUAACCGAUCCGAAUCAAAUCUACCUCGGCAAGCCAACAGACACAUGGCACAAGUAUUAUCCAGCACAUUUAAGGAUGCGUGGAGGUAACAAGGCUUUUUCAUACUCAUUUAUUGAUUUAACCAGCCGAGUGACUGCCACUAAUCCGCUGACUCCACAUCUUCUUCUCACGCGUUCUAGCAGCACAUCAAGCUUCUAUUUCAGAAUGCGUGGCAGUAGCAAAAAGUAAAUUAAAUAUUUAAAAAUUUAAAAAUUCAAUCGACACUGUUCAUGGUUGUGUUGUAGCUACGAGUCUCUCCACAGUCCACACCUCCACUGGCGAAAUUCAUUUUUUUUUAUAUUCAAAAUCAGAAGAUAAUAAAAAGAAGGCACAGAAUUCAAGAAAGAAAAAUGGCGCUGUUGCAACUCCUAUUUUAUUGAUGGGUAUCUCUAAAAUCAUUCCAAUAACCCUUUCCUGAGCUAAUCCAACCAGAAGCGUUUGAAAGAGACAUUUAGUCCUGCAACUU